Molecule: ribosomal RNA, 482 nt
Filed under: uncultured bacterium
Lineage: Bacteria
Description: partial 16S ribosomal RNA
Rfam family: Bacterial small subunit ribosomal RNA
Source: RNAcentral
AUUGAACGCUGGCGGCAUGCCUUACACAUGCAAGUCGAACGGUAACAGGUCUUCGGAUGCUGACGAGUGGCGAACGGGUGAGUAAUACAUCGGAACGUGCCCAGACGUGGGGGAUAACGAGGCGAAAGCUUUGCUAAUACCGCAUACGAUCUAAGGAUGAAAGCAGGGGACCGCAAGGCCUUGCGCGUUUGGAGCGGCCGAUGGCAGAUUAGGUAGUUGGUGGGAUAAAAGCUUACCAAGCCGACCAUCUGUAGCUGGUCUGAGAGGACGACCAGCCACACUGGGACUGAGACACGGCCCAGACUCCUACGGGAGGCAGCAGUGGGGAAUUUUGGACAAUGGGCGAAAGCCUGAUCCAGCAAUGCCGCGUGCAGGAUGAAGGCCUUCGGGUUGUAAACUGCUUUUGUACGGAACGAAAAGGCUCUGGCUAAUACCUGGGGCACAUGACGGUACCGUAAGAAUAAGCACCGGCUAACUACGUG